This 253-nucleotide ribosomal RNA is filed under the name uncultured bacterium. Its description in RNAcentral is "partial 16S ribosomal RNA". It matches the Rfam family "Bacterial small subunit ribosomal RNA", at positions 524 to 776 of the family's 1533-position model. The record is from RNAcentral.
UACGUAGGGUGCAAGCGUUAUCCGGAAUUAUUGGGCGUAAAGAGCUCGUAGGCGGUUUGUCGCGUCUGCUGUGAAAACUGGGGGCUCAACCCCCAGCCUGCAGUGGGUACGGGCAGACUAGAGUGCGGUAGGGGAGAUUGGAAUUCCUGGUGUAGCGGUGGAAUGCGCAGAUAUCAGGAGGAACACCGAUGGCGAAGGCAGAUCUCUGGGCCGUAACUGACGCCGAGGAGCGAAAGCAUGGGGAGCGAACAGG